RNAcentral lists this ribosomal RNA (416 nucleotides) under uncultured bacterium. RNAcentral describes it as "bacterial SSU rRNA". It matches the Rfam family "Bacterial small subunit ribosomal RNA", at positions 361 to 776 of the family's 1533-position model. The record is from RNAcentral.
AUAUUGGUCAAUGGGCGCGAGCCUGAACCAGCCAAGUCGCGUGAGGGAAGACUGCCCUAUGGGUUGUAAACCUCUUUUGUCGGGGAGCAAAGCCGCCACGUGUGGUGGUUUGAGAGUACCCGAAGAAAAAGCAUCGGCCAACUCCGUGCCAGCAGCCGCGGUAAUACGGAGGAUGCGAGCGUUAUCCGGAUUUAUUGGGUUUAAAGGGUGCGUAGGCGGACGAUCAAGUCAGCGGUCAAAUGUCGGGGCUUAACCCCGGCCUGCCGUUGAAACUGGUUGUCUUGAGUGAGCGAGAGGUAUGCGGAAUGCGUGGUGUAGCGGUGAAAUGCAUAGAUAUCACGCAGAACCCCGAUUGCGAAGGCAGCAUACCGGUGCUCAACUGACGCUGAUGCACGAAAGCGUGGGGAUCAAACAGG